Long non-coding RNA from Acyrthosiphon pisum (pea aphid), 497 nucleotides. RefSeq lists it as uncharacterized. Lineage: Eukaryota; Metazoa; Arthropoda; Insecta; Hemiptera; Aphididae. The transcript has 3 exons. The record is from RefSeq and is a predicted model, not a curated record.
UAAUUUCUAUACAAAUAUAUUUUUACUAAUUUAAUGAAAUGAUAGAAUUUUUUAAAAACGAUCCCUGACAGGCAAGUUUUUCAAACGUUACUGUUUCGUUGUUUUUAGUUCCUUGUACAUCAGGCAAAGUAAUAAAUGCAUUUGACCUAGGUUCAACUUGUUUACCAUCAUAUACACCAUCAUAUUUUAGAGAACGUGUUGAAUAUGAAUCCUCAGGUAUGCCUAUAAAAAAGUUAUUAUAUUUUCCGUUCAAUAAAUUUAAUUUUGUUCAACAGAAGAAUCUGAGUUGGAAGGAAUUUCCAAGCUAGACGAUGACUCGCUUCUUCAAUUUCCUAGUGCUUGCAGUGUAAAAAUACCAGAACCGUCCAGUUCUUAUAGUGAACCCAUUCAGUACGAUUAAUAUGUUCCUAGUGCUUGCCGUGUUAAGUAUGAUUUGAUAGAAGAUACUGAUUUAGUAGGUAUAUCAAUAUUGCCUGAUGAUUCAGUCAUUCAACGUA